UACAGAGGUGGCAAGCGUUGUUCGGAAUUACUGGGCGUAAAGGGCGCGUAGGCGGUCCGAUAAGUCCUGUGUGAAAUCCCUCGGCUCAACUGAGGAACUGCACGGGAGACUGCCGGGCUUGAGUUCGGGAGAGGGAAGCGGAAUUCCGGGUGUAGCGGUGAAAUGCGUAGAUAUCAGGAGGAACACCGGUGGCGAAGGCGGGUCUCUGGGCCGAUACUGACGCUGAGGAGCGAAAGCGUGGGGAGCGAACAGG
RNAcentral lists this ribosomal RNA (253 nucleotides) under uncultured bacterium. RNAcentral's name for it is "partial 16S ribosomal RNA". It matches the Rfam family "Bacterial small subunit ribosomal RNA", at positions 524 to 776 of the family's 1533-position model. The record is from RNAcentral.